Molecule: ribosomal RNA, 433 nt
Filed under: uncultured bacterium
Lineage: Bacteria
Description: partial 16S ribosomal RNA
Rfam family: Bacterial small subunit ribosomal RNA
Source: RNAcentral
AACGAACGCUGGCGGCAUGCCUAACACAUGCAAGUCGAACGAGACCUUCGGGUCUAGUGGCGCACGGGUGCGUAACGCGUGGGAACCUGCCCUUAGGUUCGGAAUAACUCCCCGAAAGGGGUGCUAAUACCGGAUAAUGUCUUCGGACCAAAGAUUUAUCGCCUUUGGAUGGGCCCGCGUUGGAUUAGCUAGUUGGUAGGGUAAAAGCCUACCAAGGCGAGGAUCCAUAGCUGGUCUGUGAGGAUGAUCAGCCACACUGGGACUGAGACACGGCCCAGACUCCUACGGGAGGCAGCAGUGGGGAAUAUUGGACAAUGGGCGAAAGCCUGAUCCAGCAAUGCCGGGUGAGUGAUGAAGGCCUUAGGGUUGUAAAGCUCUUUUACCCGGGAUGAUAAUGACAGUACCGGGAGAAUAAGCUCCGGCUAACUCCGUG